This 253-nucleotide ribosomal RNA is filed under the name uncultured bacterium. RNAcentral's name for it is "partial 16S ribosomal RNA". It matches the Rfam family "Bacterial small subunit ribosomal RNA", at positions 524 to 776 of the family's 1533-position model. The record is from RNAcentral.
GACAGAGGGUGCAAACGUUGUUCGGAAUCACUGGGCGUAAAGCGCACGUAGGCGGAUUGCUAAGUCAGGGGUGAAAUCCUGGAGCUCAACUCCAGAACUGCCUUUGAUACUGGCGAUCUCGAGUCCGGGAGAGGUGAGUGGAACUGCGAGUGUAGAGGUGAAAUUCGUAGAUAUUCGCAAGAACACCAGUGGCGAAGGCGGCUCACUGGCCCGGUACUGACGCUGAGGUGCGAAAGCGUGGGGAGCAAACAGG